GAUGAACGCUGGCGGCGUGCCUAAUACAUGCAAGUCGAGCGAACAGGCGAGGAGCUUGCUCCUCUGACGUUAGCGGCGGACGGGUGAGUAACACGUGGAUAACCUACCUAUAAGACUGGGAUAACUUCGGGAAACCGGAGCUAAUACCGGAUAAUAUAUUGAACCGCAUGGUUCAAUAGUGAAAGACGGUUUUGCUGUCACUUAUAGAUGGAUCCGUGCCGCAUUAGCUAGUUGGUAAGGUAACGGCUUACCAAGGCAACGAUGCGUAGCCGACCUGAGAGGGUGAUCGGCCACACUGGAACUGAGACACGGUCCAGACUCCUACGGGAGGCAGCAGUAGGGAAUCUUCCGCAAUGGGCGAAAGCCUGACGGAGCAACGCCGCGUGAGUGAUGAAGGUCUUCGGAUCGUAAAACUCUGUUAUUAGGGAAGAACAAAUGUGUAAGUAACUAUGCACGUCUUGACGGUACCUAAUCAGAAAGCCGCGGCUAACUACGUG
This 497-nucleotide ribosomal RNA is filed under the name uncultured bacterium. RNAcentral's name for it is "partial 16S ribosomal RNA". It matches the Rfam family "Bacterial small subunit ribosomal RNA", at positions 28 to 507 of the family's 1533-position model. The record is from RNAcentral.